This 225-nucleotide long non-coding RNA is filed under the name Homo sapiens (human). RNAcentral describes it as "non-protein coding lnc-C3orf30-9:1". Lineage: Eukaryota; Metazoa; Chordata; Mammalia; Primates; Hominidae. The record is from RNAcentral.
CAGUGUUGGGCUUACUUAAUUCCUCCAGACUUACCUUCUGUCACUUUCCUCUUUGGUCCUUGCACUCCUUCUAUUCCUUCAGUUCCUGGGUUAUGUUGGUCUCUUUCAUACCUUAAAGCCUUGGCAAGACUUCUCAUUGCUGUUAAAGCUCUCUCCACCUGCGUCUGCACAUAGCUAACUCCUACUCAUAAUUUAAACUCCAAUUACAUGUUAAUUCCUUAAGCA